This 400-nucleotide ribosomal RNA is filed under the name phytoplankton environmental sample. RNAcentral's name for it is "partial small subunit ribosomal RNA". It matches the Rfam family "Eukaryotic small subunit ribosomal RNA", at positions 587 to 993 of the family's 1831-position model. The record is from RNAcentral.
AGCUCCAAUAGCGUAUAUUUAAGUUGUUGCAGUUAAAAAGCUCGUAGUUGGAUUUCGGGUUGGCUUCAGCGGUCUCGCUUUGCGUUUGUACUGCUGCAGCCUACCUUCUUGCUGGGGACGGGCCUACGGGCUUAAUUGCUUGGGGUCCGGAAUCAGCGAUGUUACUUUGAGUAAAUUAGAGUGUUCAAAGCAAGCCUACGCUCUGAAUAUAAUAGCAUGGGAUAACACGACAGGACUCUGGCCUAUCGUGUUGGUCUAUAGGACCAGAGUAAUGAUUAAGAGGGACAGUCGGGGGCAUUCGUAUUCCGUUGUCAGAGGUGAAAUUCUUGGAUUUACGGAAGACGAACAUCUGCGAAAGCAUUUGCCAAGGAUGUUUUCAUUGAUCAAGAACGAAAGUAGG